ACCCUCUUCUCAUAUAAGCCAUUUUUUUCCAUUUAAAAAUAUAAAUAACUAAAGGAAAGUUUAAGUGAUCAGUUUCUACGGUUAGAAAACUUCUGUUUUCUCUUCACAUUCAAGACAGAGGGCUCUGAAUAAGAAAAUCUGAACAACGCCUCCCUCUCCAGAGCAGCCUGCCUUCCCACCUUCCGUCGGGCUCAUGACGGCACAGAUGCUUCGCACAAGCCCAGCUGGUGGAGUCCAAUGUCGCUGGCUUUGCUGAGUGCCUGGGGUUGCUGAAACCAUCAGAACAUUCAUGUUACCUUCAGUGGCUGACCAUGCUACACUCAUCUGUGUGAGUGAUCCUUACCUACCUCGCUGUUUAUGACCUAUGUUCAGCAUAUACAUCCUGAAAAUGCUGAGCCAGACCCCCAGCCGGCCAGUUCCCAGGAAGGUUCAAGAAAUACACAGCAAUAAGUGAAUACCAGGCCCAUGUUUUUCUUUGCGUUAAACCUAAAACCCGGCUGAAAAGAGAAUCAGAGAGAGAAUAGAAGAUUGGCACAUGACAGAGCCUUGAACUCCCCUCCUAAGGUAAACGGAGCAACAUCUCACACCUCCUGUUGGAGUUAACCAAGUGAUACCGUGUGUAUAUUUGCCCUGCCCAAAUCUCACGUUGAAACGCAAUUCCCAAGGUUGGUGGUUGUGCCUGGUGGGAGGUGAUUGGAUCAUGGGGGUGGAUUUCUCAUGCAUGGCUUAGCACAAUCCCUUUGAUGCUGUCCUCACGACAGUGAGUUCUCGCGAGAUUUGGUUGUUUAAAAGUGUGUGUCACCCUGCCCCCAUUCUUGCUCCUCCUCCCACCAGGUGAGAUGCCU
This 845-nucleotide long non-coding RNA is filed under the name Macaca mulatta (Rhesus monkey). RNAcentral's name for it is "lncRNA (ENSMMUG00000052577.1)". The record is from RNAcentral. Lineage: Eukaryota; Metazoa; Chordata; Mammalia; Primates; Cercopithecidae.